CUUGUCAACGGAGUCUGUUUACAACUCUGAUGCUUUAUACUUAGAAAUCAUUACAACAAAAUUAGAUACAAAUGGAAGACUUCUCAGCUCCUCCAGCUAGAUUGGUUGGUUGGAUUUGGAGACAGGGUCUUGCUCUGUGGCCCAGGCUGGGAUGCAGUGAUAUGAUCAUAGUUCUCUGUAGCCUUGAACUCCAGGGCUCAAGUGAUCCUCCAGCCUCAGCCUUCCGAGUAGCUGGGACUACACGCAUGCACCCCUAUGCCCGGCUAAUUCUUUUUUUUUAAAAAUUUUUAGUAGAGAUGGGGUCUGGCUAUGUUGCUCAGGCUGGCCUUGAACUCCUGAGCUCAAGUGAUCCUCCCACUUGGGCCUCCCGGAGUGCUGGGAUUACAGUCAUGAGCCACUGAGCUCAGCCCAGGUAGAUUUUGUUUGAGACUUCCUACUGCAAAAGGAGUGAUUUUUAAAUUUCUCCCUUUACCUCUAUGUCCAAUCCAGAGUGCAUGCUUUCUCUAAAUAUGUUUCAAAUCAUCCAUUUCUCUCUGUCUCCACUGCCACU
Molecule: long non-coding RNA, 550 nt
Filed under: Pan troglodytes (chimpanzee)
Lineage: Eukaryota; Metazoa; Chordata; Mammalia; Primates; Hominidae
Description: long non-coding RNA NONPTRT012051
Source: RNAcentral